GUAGUCCAUGCCGUAAACGUUGGGCACUAGGUGUGGGGUCCAUUCCACGGAUUCUGCGCCGUAGCUAACGCAUUAAGUGCCCCGCCUGGGGAGUACGGCCGCAAGGCUAAAACUCAAAGGAAUUGACGGGGGCCCGCACAAGCGGCGGAGCAUGCGGAUUAAUUCGAUGCAACGCGAAGAACCUUACCAAGGCUUGACAUGCACUAGACCAUCGCAGAGAUGUGGUUUUCUUUUUGACUGGUGUACAGGUGGUGCAUGGUUGUCGUCAGCUCGUGUCGUGAGAUGUUGGGCUAAGUCCCGCAACGAGCGCAACCCUCGUUCUAUGUUGCCAGCACGUGAUGGUGGGAACUCAUGGGAGACUGCCGGGGUCAACUCGGA
Molecule: ribosomal RNA, 378 nt
Filed under: uncultured bacterium
Lineage: Bacteria
Description: bacterial SSU rRNA
Rfam family: Bacterial small subunit ribosomal RNA
Source: RNAcentral